RNAcentral lists this ribosomal RNA (1956 nucleotides) under human gut metagenome. RNAcentral describes it as "bacterial LSU rRNA". It matches the Rfam family "Bacterial large subunit ribosomal RNA", at positions 3 to 1984 of the family's 2925-position model. The record is from RNAcentral.
UUAAGUUAAUAAGGGCGCACGGUGGAUGCCUUGGCACUAGAAGCCGAUGAAGGACGUGACUAACGACGAAAUGCUUUGGGGAGCUGUAAGUGAGCAAUGAUCCAGAGAUGUCCGAAUGGGGGAACCCGGCAGGUAAUGCCUGUCACUCAUUACUGUUAAGGUAAUGUAGAGGAAGACGCAGUGAACUGAAACAUCUAAGUAGCUGCAGGAAGAGAAAGCAAAAGCGAUUGCCUUAGUAGCGGCGAGCGAAACGGCAAGAGGGCAAACCGAAGAGUUUACUCUUCGGGGUUGUAGGACUGCAACGUGGACUUAAAGAUUAUAGAAGAACUACCUGGGAAGGUAGGCCAAAGAGAGUAAUAGCCUCGUAUUCGAAAUAGUCUUUAUACCUAGCAGUAUCCUGAGUACGGCGAGACACGAGAAAUCUCGUCGGAAUCUGGGAGGACCAUCUCCCAACCCUAAAUACUCUCUAGUGACCGAUAGUGAACCAGUACCGUGAGGGAAAGGUGAAAAGCACCCCGGGAGGGGAGUGAAAUAGAACCUGAAACCGUGUGCCUACAACAAGUUCGAGCCCGUUAAUGGGUGAGAGCGUGCCUUUUGUAGAAUGAACCGGCGAGUUACGAUAUGAUGCGAGGUUAAGUUGAAGAGACGGAGCCGUAGGGAAACCGAGUCUUAAUAGGGCGCAUUAGUAUCAUGUCGUAGACCCGAAACCAUGUGACCUACCCAUGAGCAGGUUGAAGGUGAGGUAAAACUCACUGGAGGACCGAACCAGGGCACGUUGAAAAGUGCUUGGAUGACUUGUGGGUAGCGGAGAAAUUCCAAACGAACUUGGAGAUAGCUGGUUCUCUCCGAAAUAGCUUUAGGGCUAGCGUCGAUGUUAAGUCUCUUGGAGGUAGAGCACUGUUUGGGUGAGGGGUCCAUCCCGGAUUACCAAUCUCAGAUAAACUCCGAAUGCCAACGAGAUAUAAUCGGCAGUCAGACUGCGAGUGCUAAGAUCCGUAGUCGAAAGGGAAACAGCCCAGACCACCAGCUAAGGUCCCAAAGUACAUGUUAAGUGGAAAAGGAUGUGGGGUUGCACAGACAACUAGGAUGUUAGCUUAGAAGCAGCUAUUCAUUCAAAGAGUGCGUAAUAGCUCACUAGUCGAGUGACCCUGCGCCGAAAAUGUACCGGGGCUAAAACAUAUUACCGAAGCUGUGGAUACCUUUAUAGGUAUGGUAGGAGAGCGUUCUAUGUGCGAAGAAGGUGUACCGUGAGGAGUGCUGGAGCGCAUAGAAGUGAGAAUGCCGGUAUGAGUAGCGAAAGACAGGUGAGAAUCCUGUCCACCGUAAGACUAAGGUUUCCAGGGGAAGGCUCGUCCGCCCUGGGUUAGUCGGGACCUAAGGAGAGACCGAAAGGUGUAUCCGAUGGACAACAGGUUGAUAUUCCUGUACUAGAGUAUAUAGUGAUGGAGGGACGCAGUAGGCUAACUAAACCAGACGAUUGGAAGUGUCUGGCCAAGCAGUGAGGUGUGAUAUGAGUCAAAUGCUUAUAUCUAUAACAUUGAGCUGUGAUGGGGAGCGAAGUUUAGUAGCGAAGUUAGUGAUGUCACACUGCCGAGAAAAGCUUCUAGCGUUAAUUAUACUCUACCCGUACCGCAAACCGACACAGGUAGUCGAGGCGAGUAGCCUCAGGUGAGCGAGAGAACUCUCGUUAAGGAACUCGGCAAAAUGGCCCCGUAACUUCGGGAGAAGGGGCGCUGACUUAUGGUCAGCCGCAGUGAAUAGGCCCAAGCAACUGUUUAUCAAAAACACAGCUCUCUGCUAAAUCGUAAGAUGAUGUAUAGGGGGUGACGCCUGCCCGGUGCUGGAAGGUUAAGAGGAGUGCUUAGCAAUAGCGAAGGUAUGAAUUGAAGCCCCAGUAAACGGCGGCCGUAACUAUAACGGUCCUAAGGUAGCGAAAUUCCUUGUCGGGUAAGUUCC